RNAcentral lists this ribosomal RNA (888 nucleotides) under Sticta globulifuliginosa. RNAcentral's name for it is "SSU rRNA". It matches the Rfam family "Bacterial small subunit ribosomal RNA", at positions 368 to 1216 of the family's 1533-position model. The record is from RNAcentral. Lineage: Eukaryota; Fungi; Ascomycota; Lecanoromycetes; Peltigerales; Lobariaceae.
UCAAUAGCCUAACGGCUGAACCAGCAACUUGGAGGAAUGAAAAGCAAUAGCUGAUUUGCAUUUAAUUUAAUGUAGUUACUACUUGGUAGUUUAAAGUUCUAGGUAGAAUUAUGAUGAUGACAUUAUCUAUCUAUUAGUCUUGACCAAAUUACGUGCCAGCAGUCGCGGUAAUACGUAGAAGACAAGUGUUAUUCAUCUUUAUUAGGUUUAAAGGGUACCAAGACGGUUAAUAAAGCCCAAAAUAAAUGAAUACGGGGGACAUAUUAACUAGAGUUAUAUGAAAGGAAGCUCUAAGGUACUGUUGAGUGUAGAGAUGAAAUUUUAUGAUACCAGAUGAUUGGCACAGAUUAAUGCGAAGGCAUCUUCUUAUGUAAUAACUGACGUUGUAGGACGAAGGCUUAGAAAGUGAACAGGAUUAGGUACCCCAGUAACCUAGGCAGAAAAUGAUGAAUGUCAUAGGCUGGUUAUAACGUAUAAAAAAAUAUAUAUUAGGAUAAAAGUGUAAAAUUUACAGGUUAAAGGCUGGUUUUACAAAAAAAAAAGUAAAACGGAGAAGUUGAUGAUCAGUCUAUAAAUGAAAGUGUAAGCAUUCCACCUCAAGAGUAAUUUGGCAACAUUGGAACUGAAAUCAUUAGACCGUUUCUGAAACCAGUAGUGAAGUAUGUUGUUUAAUUAGAUGAUACACAAAAACCUUACCACAAUUUGAAUAUAUAUAAAAUAUAUUUACAAGCGCUGCACGGCUGUCUACAGUUAAUGUCGUGAGACUUUGGUUAACUACUAUAAAUUAACGAAAACCCUAAUUUUAUUUAUAAAUAUAAUUAACGUUGUUAGUUUAAUGUUUUAAGAGGGAAUAUGACAAGUCAUCAUGGCCAAAAUUUUUGUGGGCUA